ACUCGCGGCGCCGUCGGAUCCCAGAGCGGUUGGUACAAUCUUAAAGUGUUGCUGCUAGACCUUUCUUCUCUUCUAAUUUACCAAGUGAGGAGUGUUGAAAUAUCCAGCUAUAAUUUAUGGAUUUCUCCUUUCAAUACUAUCAUUUUCAGUGCUUUAUGUAUUUUUGAAGCUCUAUUAUUAGCCUCUCUUGAACCUUCACAGUCCAGCUGAGCUGCCAUCUCUUCAAGGAAGUUUUCCCUGAAGCCUUCAGGUAGGCCUGUGUUUUUCCAUGGUGGCCACAUCAGCACACAGCACAUUUAAUUGGAAGUCUCCACAUAUGGGUUGGUUUUCCUUACUUAAAAUAUGCUUAUCAUCCCUUGGAGGUCUGAUGCAUUUUUCUUUCUCUGCAGACCAGCUCCUCCCACCUCCAAAUCUCAAUGGAAGAAUGUGACAUUCUGGAUUCAGCUACCCAAAGAGGGGUUUUCCCCCUCUUUUUCUCUAUUAUACAUUUUAUAGGAAGGAAUUCUGUCCCAGUUAAUUCAAACUGGAACCAGAGGAACAGGGUCCCACUGCUCAAAAUGGCUGUCACCCGUGGCUAUUGACUCCUGCCUCAUGAAGGCUGGUCCUGUCUCUACAGUGAAUAUUGUGCACCUCAGGGUAGAAUGGAGAACACAAGCCUUCAAAUCAGGCAGUCCGGGUUCAGACCCCAAUUCUAGUGCUAAAGAGCCACGUGACUUUAGGCCAAUUGUGUGUGACUUCCCUGAGCCCCAGUCUCUUUGCCUGCAAAAUGAGAGAAAUGAUAACAAU
This 786-nucleotide long non-coding RNA is filed under the name Pongo abelii (Sumatran orangutan). RNAcentral describes it as "lincRNA". The record is from RNAcentral. Lineage: Eukaryota; Metazoa; Chordata; Mammalia; Primates; Hominidae.